This 274-nucleotide ribosomal RNA is filed under the name uncultured bacterium. RNAcentral describes it as "partial 16S ribosomal RNA". It matches the Rfam family "Bacterial small subunit ribosomal RNA", at positions 523 to 796 of the family's 1533-position model. The record is from RNAcentral.
AUACGGAGGGUGCAAGCGUUACUCGGAAUCACUGGGCGUAAAGCGCGCGCAGGCGGGCUGAUAAGUUGGAUGUGAAAGCCUACGGCUCAACCGUAGAACUGCAUCCAAAACUGUCAGUCUAGAGUGUGGGAGAGGAAGAUGGAAUUAGUUGUGUAGGGGUAAAAUCCGUAGAGAUACCUAGGAAUACCAAAAGCGAAGGCAAUCUUCUGGAACACUACUGACGCUGAGGCGCGAAGGCGUGGGGAGCAAACAGGAUUAGAAACCCUAGUAGUCC